GAAAUGCGAUAAGUAAUGUGAAUUGCAGAAUUCAGUGAAUCAUCGAAUCUUUGAACGCACAUUGCGCCCGCCAGUAUUCUGGCGGGCAUGCCUGUCCGAGCGUCAUUUCAACCAUCAAGCCCCCGGGCUUGUGUUGGGGACCUGCGGCUGCCCGCAGGCCCUGAAAACCAGUGGCGGGCUCGCUGUCACACCGAGCGUAGUAGCAAUCACCUCGCUCAGGGCGUGCUGCGGGUUCCGGCCGUUAAACAGCCUUACAAAACCCAAGGAUGACCUCGGAUCAGGUAGGAAGACCCGCUGAACUUAAGC
RNAcentral lists this unclassified non-coding RNA (306 nucleotides) under plant metagenome. RNAcentral's name for it is "partial contains 5.8S ribosomal RNA, internal transcribed spacer 2, and large subunit ribosomal RNA". The stretch from base 1 to 105 matches the Rfam family "5.8S ribosomal RNA", at positions 50 to 154 of the family's 154-position model. The record is from RNAcentral.